Molecule: transfer RNA, 72 nt
Filed under: Danio rerio (zebrafish)
Lineage: Eukaryota; Metazoa; Chordata; Actinopteri; Cypriniformes; Danionidae
Description: tRNA-Pro (AGG) (tRNA-Pro-AGG-109-1)
Rfam family: tRNA
About the family: Transfer RNA (tRNA) molecules are approximately 80 nucleotides in length.
Source: Rfam by way of RNAcentral
GGCUCUUUGGUCUAGGGGUAUGAUUCUCGCUUAGGGUGCGAGAGGUCCCGGGUUCAAAUCUCGGACGAGUCC